Long non-coding RNA from Penaeus chinensis, 320 nucleotides. RefSeq lists it as uncharacterized. NCBI's taxonomy places the organism in Eukaryota, Metazoa, Arthropoda, Malacostraca, Decapoda, Penaeidae. The record is from RefSeq and is a predicted model, not a curated record. The transcript has 4 exons.
GGAUUAGAUUUCGGAGUAGCAUCCAGAAGCCAUGUUACUUUUGCGGCACAUCUUGGAGUUUCACCUGACUCGAAAGGAGUGGGAGAAGACACGAACUAUGCCAACGCACAGCGAGGACCACGCGAUUAAGCAGCAAACGGCGGGGCAAUAGGCAUACCAGGAAGUGCUCUGCCAUCCGAUUAACUACCAAAUAGCGAUGUGGGCGGGGCUGUGUCAGCGGAGAGGCGAGGAAGGCUGGCAGCAGGACACGUGGGGAAGGUGCAGGACAGUGGUUGCGUACAGCCACGUGUACCGGAGGAGGCUGAGGAAAACAAGGCUUG